This 782-nucleotide ribosomal RNA is filed under the name uncultured bacterium. RNAcentral's name for it is "bacterial SSU rRNA". It matches the Rfam family "Bacterial small subunit ribosomal RNA", at positions 25 to 805 of the family's 1533-position model. The record is from RNAcentral.
CAGGAUGAACGCUAGGCGGCAUGCCUAACACAUGCAAGUCGAACGGGGUUUAUAUGACGGAACUCUCCGGAGGGAAGAUAUAUAAACCUAGUGGCGGACGGGUGAGUAACGCGUGGGCAACCUGCCCUGUACCGGGGGACAACAGCCAGAAAUGGCUGCUAAUACCGCAUAAGCCUGCUGUGCCGCAUGGCACAGCAGGGAAAACCACGGUGGUACAGGAUGGGCCCGCGUCUGAUUAGUUAGUUGGCAGGGUAACGGCCUACCAAGACAACGAUCAGUAGCCGGCUUGAGAGAGUGGACGGCCACAUUGGGACUGAGACACGGCCCAGACUCCUGCGGGAGGCAGCAGUGGGGAAUAUUGCACAAUGGGGGGAACCCUGAUGCAGCAAUGCCGCGUGGGUGAAGAAGCACUCCGGUGCGUAAAGCCCUGUCAGCAGGGAAGAAAAUGACAGUACCUGACCAAGAAGCCCCGGCUAACUACGUGCCAGCAGCCGCGGUAAUACGUAGGGGGCAAGCGUUAUCCGGAUUUACUGGGUGUAAAGGGAGCGCAGGCGGCGUGGCAAGUCAGAUGUGAAAACCCGGGGCCCAACCCCGGGAGUGCAUUUGAAACUGCCAUGCUGGAGUGCCGGAGAGGUAAGCGGAAUUCCUAGUGUAGCGGUGAAAUGCGUAGAUAUUAGGAGGAACACCAGUGGCGGAGGCGGCUUACUGGACGGUAACUGACGCUGAGGCUCGAAAGCGUGGGGAGCAAACAGGAUUAGAUACCCUGGUAGUCCACGCCGUAA